AAAAGGGGGAGAGAAAAAGUAGAAAAGGGGGAGGGAACAUACCUGGCGUGGAGCACGGUGGAGCUUGCUGGUGGCGCCCGUCGGCGGACCUCCGACGAGGUGGUGGUGGCCGUAGGGGGUGAAGGAGGUGGCGAAAGUCGUUGAAGCCGGUGGCGUUGAGGUCGCCGUGCUCAGGCGACCUCGCAGCUUGACAUGCAGAGGCGGGGAGCGGUGGGAGGUUGCUGAUCGGAGACUCGCCGGAGGCUUCGCCGGAG
Molecule: unclassified non-coding RNA, 254 nt
Filed under: Hevea brasiliensis (rubber tree)
Lineage: Eukaryota; Viridiplantae; Streptophyta; Magnoliopsida; Malpighiales; Euphorbiaceae
Source: RNAcentral